This 480-nucleotide ribosomal RNA is filed under the name uncultured bacterium. RNAcentral's name for it is "bacterial SSU rRNA". It matches the Rfam family "Bacterial small subunit ribosomal RNA", at positions 15 to 507 of the family's 1533-position model. The record is from RNAcentral.
GAUCAUGGCUCAGGAUGAACGCUAGCGGCAGGCUUAAUACAUGCAAGUCAAGGGGUAGCAAUACAACCGGCGCACGGGUGAGUAACGCGUACACAACAUACCAUAUACUGGGGUAUAGCUUCGGGAAACUGGAGAUAAUCCCCCAUAACAUUGCGAGAGGGCAUCUGAUUGCAAUUAAAGUUUCGACGGUAUAUGAUUGGUGUGCGUUUGAUUAGCUUGUUGGUAGGGUAACGGCCUACCAAGGCGACGAUCAAUAGCUGGCGUGAGAGCGCGACCAGCCACACUGGAACUGAGACACGGUCCAGACUCCUACGGGAGGCAGCAGUAGGGAAUAUUGGACAAUGGGCGAAAGCCUGAUCCAGCCAUGCCGCGUGAUAGAUGAAGGCCCUCUGGGUUGUAAAUAUCUUUUAUCUGGGAAGAAACUCCUCUAUUCUUAGAGGCCUGACGGUACCAGAGGAAUAAGCACCGGCUAACUCCGUG